AGACUGCCGCUUAGGCAA
Molecule: small nuclear RNA, 18 nt
Filed under: Arabidopsis thaliana (thale cress)
Lineage: Eukaryota; Viridiplantae; Streptophyta; Magnoliopsida; Brassicales; Brassicaceae
Description: snRNA_00083
Source: RNAcentral